AAAUUGAAGAGUUUGAUCAUGGCUCAGAUUGAACGCUGGCGGCAGGCCUAACACAUGCAAGUCGAACGGUAACAGGAAGCAGCUUGCUGCUUUGCUGACGAGUGGCGGACGGGUGAGUAAUGUCUGGGAAACUGCCUGAUGGAGGGGGAUAACUACUGGAAACGGUGGCUAAUACCGCAUAACGUCGCAAGACCAAAGAGGGGGACCUUCGGGCCUCUUGCCAUCAGAUGUGCCCAGAUGGGAUUAGCUUGUUGGUGAGGUAACGGCUCACCAAGGCGACGAUCCCUAGCUGGUCUGAGAGGAUGACCAGCCACACUGGAACUGAGACACGGUCCAGACUCCUACGGGAGGCAGCAGUGGGGAAUAUUGCACAAUGGGCGCAAGCCUGAUGCAGCCAUGCCGCGUGUAUGAAGAAGGCCUUCGGGUUGUAAAGUACUUUCAGCGGGGAGGAAGGUGUUGUGGUUAAUAACCGCAGCAAUUGACGUUACCCGCAGAAGAAGCACCGGCUAACUCCGUGCCAGCAGCCGCGGUAAUACGGAGGGUGCAAGCGUUAAUCGGAAUUACUG
Molecule: ribosomal RNA, 566 nt
Filed under: Salmonella enterica subsp. enterica serovar Infantis
Lineage: Bacteria; Pseudomonadati; Pseudomonadota; Gammaproteobacteria; Enterobacterales; Enterobacteriaceae
Also listed under: 1 other name
Description: partial 16S ribosomal RNA
Rfam family: Bacterial small subunit ribosomal RNA
Source: RNAcentral